RNAcentral lists this ribosomal RNA (54 nucleotides) under Trebouxia angustilobata. Its description in RNAcentral is "partial large subunit ribosomal RNA". The record is from RNAcentral. Lineage: Eukaryota; Viridiplantae; Chlorophyta; Trebouxiophyceae; Trebouxiales; Trebouxiaceae. RNAcentral also lists the same sequence under 4 other names.
UUUCGACCUGAGGUCAGGCAAGAACACCCGCUGAACUUAAGCAUAUCAAUAAGC